AGGGGGUUAGUCCAACAAAAGACCUCUGAUUUCGGCUCAGAAAAUUGUGGUUAGACCCCGCAACCCCCUU
RNAcentral lists this transfer RNA (70 nucleotides) under Acheilognathus typus (zenitanago). Its description in RNAcentral is "tRNA-Arg". It matches the Rfam family "tRNA". Rfam says of the family: Transfer RNA (tRNA) molecules are approximately 80 nucleotides in length. Their secondary structure includes four short double-helical elements and three loops (D, anti-codon, and T loops). The record is from RNAcentral. Lineage: Eukaryota; Metazoa; Chordata; Actinopteri; Cypriniformes; Acheilognathidae.